GCCUUCGUAGUGUAGUGGUCAGCGCGCUCAGCGUGUAACCGAGAGGUCCGUGGUUCGAAUACCUGCGAAGGCG
RNAcentral lists this transfer RNA (73 nucleotides) under Stegodyphus mimosarum. It matches the Rfam family "tRNA". Rfam says of the family: Transfer RNA (tRNA) molecules are approximately 80 nucleotides in length. Their secondary structure includes four short double-helical elements and three loops (D, anti-codon, and T loops). Further hydrogen bonds mediate the characteristic L-shaped molecular structure. tRNAs have two regions of fundamental functional importance: the anti-codon, which is responsible for specific mRNA codon recognition, and the 3' end, to which the tRNAs corresponding amino acid is attached (by aminoacyl-tRNA synthetases). tRNAs cope with the degeneracy of the genetic code in two manners: having more than one tRNA (with a specific anti-codon) for a particular amino acid; and 'wobble' base-pairing, i.e. permitting non-standard base-pairing at the 3rd anti-codon position. Lineage: Eukaryota; Metazoa; Arthropoda; Arachnida; Araneae; Eresidae. The record is from Rfam by way of RNAcentral.